This 415-nucleotide long non-coding RNA is filed under the name Zostera marina. RNAcentral describes it as "long non-coding RNA (ZMAR_LNC003051)". The record is from RNAcentral. Lineage: Eukaryota; Viridiplantae; Streptophyta; Magnoliopsida; Alismatales; Zosteraceae.
AUACGUGAUGUUCGGAGACGGGGAAUUAUGUGCGUGCAAGCCGAUAAGCGAGGAGGAUCUAGCGUCAUUCAUGGCGGACUGUGUACUGGACGAUGACAAAAUGCGCAAGAUCCUUCCGAUCGGGGGGCCGGGGAAAGCUCUGACGCCUCUGGAGCAAGGGGAGAUGUUGUUCCGAUUGAUCGGGAAGAAACCUAUAUUCUUAAAAGUCCCGAUUGGAGUGAUGGACUUUAGCAUUUCUAUUUUAGAUUUUCUAGUAAAAAACUUACCGUGGCUGAACUUGGAAGACGCGGCGGAGUUCGGGAAGAUCGGAAGGUAUUACGCAGCGGAGAGUAUGCUGAUUAUCGAUCCGGAGACAGGGAAGUACGAUGCAGAGAAGACUCCGAGCUACGGGAAAGAUACUCUGGAGGAUUUCUUC